AUCAAGGUGGCAGAGCCCGGACAAAUGCAGAAGGCCUAAGCCCUUUAAACAGAGGUUCAAGUCCUCUCCCUGAUU
RNAcentral lists this transfer RNA (75 nucleotides) under Pandaka pygmaea (dwarf pygmy goby). RNAcentral describes it as "tRNA-Leu". It matches the Rfam family "tRNA". From Rfam's summary of the family: Transfer RNA (tRNA) molecules are approximately 80 nucleotides in length. Their secondary structure includes four short double-helical elements and three loops (D, anti-codon, and T loops). Further hydrogen bonds mediate the characteristic L-shaped molecular structure. tRNAs have two regions of fundamental functional importance: the anti-codon, which is responsible for specific mRNA codon recognition, and the 3' end, to which the tRNAs corresponding amino acid is attached (by aminoacyl-tRNA synthetases). tRNAs cope with the degeneracy of the genetic code in two manners: having more than one tRNA (with a specific anti-codon) for a particular amino acid; and 'wobble' base-pairing, i.e. permitting non-standard base-pairing at the 3rd anti-codon position. The record is from RNAcentral. Lineage: Eukaryota; Metazoa; Chordata; Actinopteri; Gobiiformes; Gobiidae.